Long non-coding RNA from Mugil cephalus (flathead mullet), 1193 nucleotides. RefSeq lists it as uncharacterized. Lineage: Eukaryota; Metazoa; Chordata; Actinopteri; Mugiliformes; Mugilidae. The transcript is spliced from 5 exons. The record is from RefSeq and is a predicted model, not a curated record.
GUGAGUGACACUGUCGUCGUUCAAUUCAUCACUGGAUUAAAAAAUGUUGCUUUAGAAAUACACAACCCAGAAGUUAAUUUACUUCUGAUGCACAAGAAAUGAUGCUUAUCAGACUGGCGAGAGCUAAAUGGCAUGAAGGGUUCUCUCUGAGGGAAAAUAUGAUUUACGUUUUCAUUCUUUUACAGUACCAGAGGAUAUUAAGGAAGUGAAUGUGAUACUCUUCGCAAAUACCCUUAAUGUAUACUGUUCUACAUACCAGCAUGUUUUCAAUGGACCCGAGAAAAUAUACAAAGCUGAAGUUGUUGACUUUGAUACACAGAAGAACAGCAACUGUGACUUUUAUUUCAAAGGUCUGGCGUACUUUAAAAACUACACAUUGAAGGUGACUGCAUACAAUGGACACUUUGAGAGCAAAGUGGCAAUCAGAUAUCUCUACGAUGACUCUAUCAUCAAUGUGAUAGUCGGCUUCACCAUCGUCUCACUUGAGGUGCUGCUUGUGGCGGCCUACGCAAUCUAUGUUUGGAGGCACAGAAAGGUUCUGAAUGAAGAUACAAAGCUGAAAUCAACAGCAAUUUAUGUCCUCCUCCUGCCUGUGGAAGACCCAACGGAGCCCGAUGAACAGACUCUCACAGACUCUGAAGUAUUGAAAUGUUUCACUUUAUAGUACACACACAGAUCAGAAAAGUGACUGAAGCAGCUCUGAAUAUGGCGCCCUGAACAAGCAAUGAUACCUCAUAUAUUCAUAGAUGAUGCUACUUUAGCAACUAUAAUCACUGACGUAGUUUUCUGCCUCGGAGCAUCUGAUCAAUGUUAUAACAAGGAUCUUUAUGAGCACACUGUGUAACCAAUGAGCUUCUUAUCCAUUAUUAAUCUCCCAUGUAUCACCUAGUAUCCUGUAACAUUGUUUGCAUCACAUUUAAAUGCGUUAUCCUGAUGUAUGUAUGAAUUUAUCUGAUUGUUUUUGCAGCUCUCUUCUCCUUCUAUCGCUUUUUUUCUGUCUCUCCACUGGGUCAACCUCAAACAGAUGUAUCCCCCGUUCUGCUCGAGGUUUCUUCUUGUUAAGAGGGACUUUUUUCUUGCCAAAGUGGCUUCAUUGCUUGGUCUGUAGGUUUCAGGCUUUGGAUUCUGUAAAAGCUCCUGAGAUAUAGGUGUAUAUGUGUUACUGAGGCAAUGUAAAUAAAAAUAAAUAAAUA